Molecule: long non-coding RNA, 493 nt
Organism: Sapajus apella (tufted capuchin)
Lineage: Eukaryota; Metazoa; Chordata; Mammalia; Primates; Cebidae
Exons: 2
Source: RefSeq, a predicted model, not a curated record
GCGCCAGUGCUGCAGUGUGCGGCGCAUGGCUGCGAGAGCCUGGCGGGGGGCGGGCUCGAGUCGGAAAGACACCGACCGGGGAAUGGGCUACGAGGCUUGCCUUAAUUCAGAGGAAACCUAGGGCUUGGGAGAGCCAUACAAUUUGAAAGAUGAGGCAGAAACUGAAAUGGAGAAACUUGUGGUUCGGAUAGCUCAGCUGAUUAAUUCAUAUUGCCACAGUUUGACAUGGACAAGAUGGCGGGAGUCCUAUGGAGUCCUUAAGCCAUAUAAUAUGCAAAGGAUGAAGGAAGAUCAAGUCUAGGUGCCUGAUGACAACAUGGAGCUGUCACACAAGCCCUGGCUGCCUACCCUUGGACUUCUCAUUAUGGGAGAAAAUGAAACAAUUCGUUUCAGCUACACUGAUCUUUUUUCCUAUUUUUCUUUUGUUGAGUGUGUGUUUGUGUCUGUUAUUUACAGCUGAUUGUAAUUCAUAACGAUGUGGUAGUGGGACUGU